UGCCAGCAGCCGCGGUAAUACGGAGGGUCCGAGCGUUAUCCGGAAUCAUUGGGUUUAAAGGGUCCGUAGGCGGUCUGGUAAGUCAGAGGUGAAAUCCUGCAGCUCAACUGUAGCAUUGCCUUUGAUACUGCCAGACUUGAGUUAUUUUUAAGUAGUUAGAAUGUGUAGUGUAGCGGUGAAAUGCAUAGAUAUUACACAGAAUACCAAUUGCGAAGGCAGAUUACUACGUAUGUACUGACGCUGAGGGACGAAAGCGUGGGGAGCGAACAGGAUUAGAUA
Molecule: ribosomal RNA, 279 nt
Filed under: uncultured bacterium
Lineage: Bacteria
Description: partial 16S ribosomal RNA
Rfam family: Bacterial small subunit ribosomal RNA
Source: RNAcentral